CGAACGCUGGCGGCGUGCUUAACACAUGCAAGUCGACCGGAAAGGCCCUGCUUGCAGGAUACUCGAGUGGCGAACGGGUGAGUAACACGUGGGUGAUCUGUCCUGCACUUCGGGAUAAGCCUGGGAAACUGGGUCUAAUACCGGAUAGGAGCCAUUUUUAGUGUGAUGGUUGGAAAGUUUUUUUCGGUGUAGGAUGAGCUCGCGGCCUAUCAGCUUGUUGGUGGGGUAAUGGCCUACCAAGGCGGCGACGGGUAGCCGGCCUGAGAGGGUGGACGGCCACAUUGGGACUGAGAUACGGCCCAGACUCCUACGGGAGGCAGCAGUGGGGAAUAUUGCACAAUGGGCGCAAGCCUGAUGCAGCGACGCCGCGUGGGGGAUGACGGCCUUCGGGUUGUAAACUCCUUUCGCUAGGGACGAAGCUUUUUGUGACGGUACCUAGAUAAGAAGCACCGGCUAACUACGUG
Molecule: ribosomal RNA, 464 nt
Filed under: uncultured bacterium
Lineage: Bacteria
Description: partial 16S ribosomal RNA
Rfam family: Bacterial small subunit ribosomal RNA
Source: RNAcentral